Perca fluviatilis (European perch) is the source of this 472-nucleotide long non-coding RNA. RefSeq lists it as uncharacterized. The transcript is spliced from 3 exons. The record is from RefSeq and is a predicted model, not a curated record. NCBI's taxonomy places the organism in Eukaryota, Metazoa, Chordata, Actinopteri, Perciformes, Percidae.
ACAUGCUAAAAGCUAAAAUGCUCAUGGUGGAUCCAGCAGCAGUGACUUCUGCGUUUAUGGAGGAACUUUUAUCUUCAGUGAGGAGCCCAGUGGGACAGAGCGACUGGGUGAAAUGGUUAUACUGGGACAGAGAGGCAGAGUAGACGGGUCAUAUUUGAGAAUGAACAAGCACAGAAGUUGAACCUUUUAAUUGAGGAAGACUUUGAGAUGCUCAAGACUGUCAUUUAGACAGUUCCCUAUAAAUGCAGAUCCAGACUACAGAUCCAGAAACCCUGGAGAGUCACUGACCACUUUAAAGGAGCCUGGUCUGCCCUGGCUCUGUGGAAAGAGUAUAAAGUUUCAUAAAUCCCAGGGGGGCGACACCGCAGCGAGGUCAGCCUUCAGCCACGGUGACACUUCACAGGUUUGCUCAUAAAACUGGAAAGGCUUGCUAUUUCCUUCUGUAUAACAAGACUUCUGUGCCUCUCCUGCC